CCUACGGGAGGCAGCAGUGAGGAAUAUUGGUCAAUGGACGAGAGUCUGAACCAGCCAAGUAGCGUGAAGGAUGACUGCCCUCUGGUUUGUAAACUUCUUUUAUAUGGGAAUAAAAUGUUCCACGUGUGGGAUUUUGUAUGUACCAUAUGCAUAAGGAUCGGCUAACUCCGUGCCAGCCGCCCCGGUAAUACGGAGGAUCCGAGCGUUAUCCGGAUUUAUUGGGUUUAACGGGAGCGUAGGUGGAUUGUUAAGUCAGUUGUGAAAGUUUGCGGCUCAACCGUAAAAUUGCAGUUGAAACUGGCAGUCUUGAGUACAGUAGAGGUGGGCGGAAUUCGUGGUGUAGCGGUGAAAUGCGUAGAUAUCACGAAGAACUCCGAUUGCGAAGGCAGCUCACUGGACUGCAACUGACACUGAGGCUCGAAAGUGUGGGUAUCAAACAGGAUUAGAUACCCCUGUAGUC
RNAcentral lists this ribosomal RNA (460 nucleotides) under uncultured bacterium. Its description in RNAcentral is "partial 16S ribosomal RNA". It matches the Rfam family "Bacterial small subunit ribosomal RNA", at positions 338 to 795 of the family's 1533-position model. The record is from RNAcentral.